Molecule: ribosomal RNA, 487 nt
Filed under: uncultured Ferruginibacter sp.
Lineage: Bacteria; Pseudomonadati; Bacteroidota; Chitinophagia; Chitinophagales; Chitinophagaceae
Description: bacterial SSU rRNA
Rfam family: Bacterial small subunit ribosomal RNA
Source: RNAcentral
GAUGAACGCUAGCGGCAGGCUUAAUACAUGCAAGUCGAGGGGCAGCACGGGUAGCAAUACCUGGUGGCGACCGGCAAACGGGUGCGGAACACGUACGCAACCUUCCCAUAACUGGUGAAUAGCCCUCCGAAAGGAGGAUUAAUACACCGUAACAUAACGAAGUGGCAUCACUUUGUUAUUAUAGGCUUCGGCCGGUUUUGGAUGGGCGUGCGCCUGAUUAGGUAGUUGGCGGGGUAACGGCCCACCAAGCCUGCGAUCAGUAACUGGUGUGAGAGCACGACCAGUCACACGGGCACUGAGACACGGGCCCGACUCCUACGGGAGGCAGCAGUAAGGAAUAUUGGUCAAUGGACGAAAGUCUGAACCAGCCAUGCCGCGUGAAGGAUGACGGCCCUCUGGGUUGUAAACUUCUUUUAUAGGGGACGAAAAAAGGGCAUUCUUGCUCACUUGACGGUACCCUAGGAAUAAGCACCGGCUAACUCCGUGC